CGACGGAUCUCACGUGGCGUGAAUCCUGCGAACUCCCCCAGGGCAGGAAUGCAGCAAGGGUAAGCGGGCUCUGGCGGGUGCGUGAGGUCCGUUCUAC
Corynebacterium variabile DSM 44702 is the source of this 97-nucleotide non-coding RNA. NCBI's taxonomy places the organism in Bacteria, Bacillati, Actinomycetota, Actinomycetes, Mycobacteriales, Corynebacteriaceae. The record is from Rfam.